This 497-nucleotide ribosomal RNA is filed under the name uncultured bacterium. RNAcentral's name for it is "partial 16S ribosomal RNA". It matches the Rfam family "Bacterial small subunit ribosomal RNA", at positions 28 to 507 of the family's 1533-position model. The record is from RNAcentral.
GACGAACGCUGGCGGCGUGCCUAAUACAUGCAAGUUGAGCGCUGAAGGUUGGUACUUGUACCAACUGGAUGAGCAGCGAACGGGUGAGUAACGCGUGGGGAAUCUGCCUUUGAGCGGGGGACAACAUUUGGAAACGAAUGCUAAUACCGCAUAAAAACUUUAAACACAAGUUUUAAGUUUGAAAGAUGCAAUUGCAUCACUCAAAGAUGAUCCCGCGUUGUAUUAGCUAGUUGGUGAGGUAAAGGCUCACCAAGGCGAUGAUACAUAGCCGACCUGAGAGGGUGAUCGGCCACAUUGGGACUGAGACACGGCCCAAACUCCUACGGGAGGCAGCAGUAGGGAAUCUUCGGCAAUGGACGAAAGUCUGACCGAGCAACGCCGCGUGAGUGAAGAAGGUUGUCGGAUCGUAAAACUCUGUUGGUAGAGAAGAACGUUGGUGAGGGUGGAAAGCUCAUCAAGUGACGGUAACUACCCAGAAAGGGACGGCUAACUACGUG